CGGCCGGAACGAGGUCGAAGGCUACUUCCAGCGGUUCGUGGCCGCUGUACGGACGCAGCGGUUCGACAUCGAACGGAUCGUC
This 82-nucleotide transfer RNA is filed under the name Streptomyces rubradiris. Its description in RNAcentral is "tRNA-Thr". The record is from RNAcentral. Lineage: Bacteria; Bacillati; Actinomycetota; Actinomycetes; Kitasatosporales; Streptomycetaceae.